RNAcentral lists this ribosomal RNA (467 nucleotides) under uncultured bacterium. Its description in RNAcentral is "partial 16S ribosomal RNA". It matches the Rfam family "Bacterial small subunit ribosomal RNA", at positions 28 to 507 of the family's 1533-position model. The record is from RNAcentral.
GAUGAACGCUGGCGGCGUGCUUAACACAUGCAAGUCGAACGGAAAGGCCCAAGCUUGCUUGGGUACUCGAGUGGCGAACGGGUGAGUAACACGUGGGUGAUCUGCCCUGCACUUCGGGAUAAGCCUGGGAAACUGGGUCUAAUACCGGAUAGGACCACUUCUUGGAUGUUGUGGUGGAAAGUUUUUUCGGUGUGGGAUGAGCUCGCGGCCUAUCAGCUUGUUGGUGGGGUAAUGGCCUACCAAGGCGUCGACGGGUAGCCGGCCUGAGAGGGUGUACGGCCACAUUGGGACUGAGAUACGGCCCAGACUCCUACGGGAGGCAGCAGUGGGGAAUAUUGCACAAUGGGCGCAAGCCUGAUGCAGCGACGCCGCGUGGGGGAUGACGGCCUUCGGGAUGUAAACUCCUUUCGCUAGGGACGAAGCGUUUUGUGACGGUACCUGGAGAAGAAGCACCGGCUAACUACGUG